AACGAACGCUGGCGGCGCGCCUAAUACAUGCAAGUCGAGCGAGAAGGUGUAGCAAUACACUUGUAAAGCGGCGAACGGGUGAGGAAUGCAUGGGUAACCUACCCUCGAGUGGGGAAUAACUAGCCGAAAGGUUAGCUAAUACCGCAUACGUUUCCGGAACUUCGGUUUCGGAAAGAAAGCAAUACCGUGGGUAUUGCGCUCCUGGAUGGGCUCAUGUCCUAUCAGCUUGUUGGUGAGGUAACGGCUCACCAAGGCUUCGACGGGUAGCCGGCCUGAGAGGGUGACCGGCCACACUGGGACUGAGACACGGCCCAGACUCCUACGGGAGGCAGCAGUGGGGAAUAUUGCACAAUGGGCGCAAGCCUGAUGCAGCAACGCCGCGUGAGGGACGACGGCCUUGGGUGUAAACCUCUUUAGUAGGGAGAAGCGAAAGUGACGGUACCUGCAGAAAAAGCACCGGCUAACUACGUGCCAGCAGCCGCGGUAAU
This 488-nucleotide ribosomal RNA is filed under the name uncultured bacterium. RNAcentral describes it as "bacterial SSU rRNA". It matches the Rfam family "Bacterial small subunit ribosomal RNA", at positions 29 to 524 of the family's 1533-position model. The record is from RNAcentral.